This 1066-nucleotide long non-coding RNA is filed under the name Brassica rapa (field mustard). Its description in RNAcentral is "long non-coding RNA (BRAP_LNC004687)". Lineage: Eukaryota; Viridiplantae; Streptophyta; Magnoliopsida; Brassicales; Brassicaceae. The record is from RNAcentral.
CCGUCUUCUUCUUCUUACUUGAGAAGCAAGGAAGAAGCUGUUACCACAACCAUGAAGCCCAUAGAACCAUGCGAACCCCUAAACAUGACAAAAGAAGUUCAGGAGCUUGGCGAUAAGACGAACAUGGUGAAGAAAGCUCCGGAAGAUCCAGAGAUUGGUGUGUUUGGAGCUGAGAAGUACUUCAACGGAGACAUGGAUUCAGACCAGAGUUCUAGUGUUCUGUCUCUGGCAAACACAGAAGUUGAGAGAUUCGUUGUUGAUUCCAAGCAGAGCGAGAAGAGGUCUACUGGAACUCCGAGUGUCCGCUCUGACUCAAGCUGGAAUAGUCAGAGCAUAUUACUUCAGAACAAAUUGGUUAAUAGCUGCAACAGUUCCUUGCAGGAGAAGAAACACAAUAGUGAUCACAUUCCAAAGGUGAACAAUAGUAAGAAGAGUUUUAUCUCAAACCUAAGGUGUAAAUGCGUGUGUACUGAUGAGAACUCAGUCGAUGUCGAUGAUAAGAUCUCAGUUAAGAUUCAGAAGCAAGAAGAGUUGGUGCAGAGGAAGGCUCCUGAAGUGUUUGGUUCUCCUCUACACAUUGAGAAGAGGGUUUUUGUUCAGAAGAAGCUCACAUUACCUCCAUGGGAAUCAAGAAUAGAGGAAGAAGACACAAAGAGUGAUUCCAGCUCGGAUCUUUUCGAGAUAGAAAAUCUUACAGGGAAACCAAAACCUAUUCUUGGAAGGCAAGGAAGCGAUCCGGCUUCACCUACAUGUUAUGCUCCAAGUGAAGUUAGCAUAGAGUGGAGCAUAGUGACAGCAAGUGCAGCAGAUUUCUCUGUUAUGUCAGAAUGUGCAACAAGCCCUGUAAGAAGAAACCGAUCUUCACAGAUUCCUCAGAUCCCUACUAAUACUUACAUCGAUAAAAACGCACCGCAGAGGCAGAAAUCAAGUAGCAGCGGAAAGGGUGGUUUCUUGAGCUGCAAGAGUCAUAAAUCUGUUAUGGUUUCUAGUGAUUCAGACAGAAGAAGUAGCAUGAACAAGACAUCCAUGAGUUAUGUCCCGAGGUUCCCAAUGGAGACUACUAAAC